This 569-nucleotide long non-coding RNA is filed under the name Marmota monax (woodchuck). Lineage: Eukaryota; Metazoa; Chordata; Mammalia; Rodentia; Sciuridae. The record is from RNAcentral.
GAAUUGAAAUGCACUUUGCUGUCAUAUGUAACAAAUUAGAACAAAUAAAUACACUUUAAAAAAGAAAAGAAAAAAAGGGGGAGAGAGGCAAGAAUGAGUCAAAGAUAGGAAGCAUAAUUCUUAAGACGAGCUUUCCCCUCUUACCUGGAAAUCAGGGUGGCUACAAAAUCUAGUGUGAAUUGGCUCAGAUUUUCAAAAUCUUCCUUUUAAAAGCAUCUCCAUAAAUGGGAUGGAUAUAGAAUGGUAUCAGAAAAAUGCAUUUAUCUCUAAUGGGUCCAAACUGAAAUUCGGUAUAAAAAUGAAAAUUUAAAUGCACCAGUAAAGUGACACUCCUUUGUGACUAGGAGUACAAAGAAAACAGCCUAUCAAUACCAACUUUAGGUACUUUUUUUCUCAUUUAUAUUAUGUGACUUAAAACAUUUUUCAGAUGUGCAUAUAGACCUGGGAGUGCAGCUCAGGGUAGAGGGAGUACCUUGGCAUGCGCAAGGACCCAGUUUCAAUCCCUAGCACUGCAAAAAAAAUAAAGUGUAUGUAGAUCGUUUGAGUUAAUAAACUGAGUGUAGAUUAAG